Molecule: ribosomal RNA, 433 nt
Filed under: uncultured bacterium
Lineage: Bacteria
Description: partial 16S ribosomal RNA
Rfam family: Bacterial small subunit ribosomal RNA
Source: RNAcentral
AGCGAACGCUGGCGGCAGGCCUAACACAUGCAAGUCGAACGAACUCUUCGGAGUUAGUGGCGGACGGGUGAGUAACACGUGGGAACGUGCCUUUUGGUUCGGAAUAACUCAGGGAAACUUGUGCUAAUACCGAAUGUGCCCUUCGGGGGAAAGAUUUAUCGCCAUUAGAGCGGCCCGCGUCUGAUUAGCUAGUUGGUGAGGUAACGGCUCACCAAGGCGACGAUCAGUAGCUGGUCUGAGAGGAUGACCAGCCACACUGGGACUGAGACACGGCCCAGACUCCUACGGGAGGCAGCAGUGGCGAAUCUUGCGCAACGGGCGAAAGCCUGACGCAGCCAUGCCGCGUGAAUGAUGAAGGUCUUAGGAUUGUAAAAUUCUUUCACCGGGGACGAUAAUGACGGUACCCGGAGAAGAAGCCCCGGCUAACUUCGUG